UACGUAGGGUGCAAGCGUUAAUCGGAAUUACUGGGCGUAAAGCGUGCGCAGGCGGUUAUGUAAGACAGUUGUGAAAUCCCCCGGGCUCAACCUGGGAAUUGCAUCUGUGACUGCAUAGCUAGAGUACGGUAGAGGGGGAUGGAAUUCCGCGUGUAGGCAGUGAAAUGCGUAGAUAUGACGGAGGAACACCGAUGGCGAAGGCAAUUCCCUGGACCUGUACUCGACGCUCAU
This 231-nucleotide ribosomal RNA is filed under the name uncultured bacterium. Its description in RNAcentral is "partial 16S ribosomal RNA". It matches the Rfam family "Bacterial small subunit ribosomal RNA", at positions 524 to 750 of the family's 1533-position model. The record is from RNAcentral.